GACGAACGCUGGCGGCGUGCUUAACACAUGCCAGUCGAACGGAAAGGCCCUGCUUGCAGGGUACUCGAGUGGCGAACGGGUGAGUAACACGUGGGUGAUCUGCCCUGCACUUCGGGAUAAGCCUGGGAAACUGGGUCUAAUACCGGAUAGGAGCCAUUUUUAGUGUGAUGGUUGGAAAGUUUUUUCGGUGUAGGAUGAGCUCGCGGCCUAUCAGCUUGUUGGUGGGGUAAUGGCCUACCAAGGCGGCGACGGGUAGCCGGCCUGAGAGGGUGGACGGCCACAUUGGGACUGAGAUACGGCCCAGACUCCUACGGGAGGCAGCAAUGGGGAAUAUUGCACAAUGGGCGCAAGCCUGAUGCAGCGACGCCGCGUGGGGGAUGACGGCCUUCGGGUUGUAAACUCCCUUCGCUAGGGACGAAGCUUUUUGUGACGGUACCUAGAUAAGAAGCACCGGCUAACUACGUG
RNAcentral lists this ribosomal RNA (465 nucleotides) under uncultured bacterium. RNAcentral's name for it is "partial 16S ribosomal RNA". It matches the Rfam family "Bacterial small subunit ribosomal RNA", at positions 28 to 507 of the family's 1533-position model. The record is from RNAcentral.